GGAUGGUCGUCUGUCCGAAGUUAACGUAGCUGGGAACAGAAGAGCACAGAACCCAGAUAAGGAAAACUGAGGCUCAGAGAAAUGGCGAAUUGUGGAUCUCUUCGCCCAGCUGGAAGGGAUGGAAGCAGGCUCCAUCUCACGAUGAUCCUCACGACCCAAUGUGAGGAGCUGAGGACUGAGAUCAACGGCCUCCCUGAGUCCUGUCGCCAUCCAGGCCCCUGGGAGCCAGUCAUGGGCUUCACAUCCCUGGACACGUUUGUUGAUUAGUAGAACACAAAACAGGAACAACAUGACAAGAUUACUUUAUCAGCCUCGUGGUCCUUCCCUUUCUGACCAAUGGGAACAUGGAUGUGAUGCUUGGAGCUGCUCUAACAUUUUUGUGACCCUGAGAAAGCAUGGAUAAAUGUAUGUCCACGAGAGAUGGCAGAGAAGACAAGCGGAAUAUACUUGAAUCCCUUUGGCAUCCGUCACGUGAUGUGACAGUCUUAUAAUGUCUACUUCUGGGCUUACUGUUACAUUCAGAAGAACAUGUGUCAUUCUUCUAUGGAGAGGGGGUUUCUUUUCAUAGU
Molecule: non-coding RNA, 569 nt
Organism: Oryctolagus cuniculus (rabbit)
Lineage: Eukaryota; Metazoa; Chordata; Mammalia; Lagomorpha; Leporidae
Source: RefSeq, a predicted model, not a curated record